Molecule: long non-coding RNA, 557 nt
Organism: Pseudophryne corroboree (corroboree frog)
Lineage: Eukaryota; Metazoa; Chordata; Amphibia; Anura; Myobatrachidae
Exons: 4
Source: RefSeq, a predicted model, not a curated record
UUUUUUGUGGCUGACCCAGAACCAAAGAAGACAGGAAGUUUUGUCCGCCAGGUGUACACAGCCUCAUCCCAUUCUUUUGGAAGCAGUUCAGCCAAGUCUCUCAGAUAGAUGUCAUUUUUUUGUGGCUGACCCAGAACCAAAGAAGACAGGAAGUUUGUCUGCCAGGUGCACACAGCAGCAUCCCAUUCUUUUGGAAGCAGUUCAGCCAAGUCUCUCAGUAUAGUCAAUUUUGUGUGGCUGGCUGUUACAGAACAGAUGCAGAGGGAUGAAGAUUGAAAAUUUCGACCAUUUGAAAGCUCCAGGAUAGAUCUUCAUACUCGCCUAUUUAAGGUCUACAGGGGAGGCUUCCAGGUACUCGGAAACCCGACCUGCGUGCCCCACUGAAUGAUGACUUACUGUAAUACAAUGGUACAAGACAGCUCCUUUCUGCCAGGCCUACCACCCGCAGAUAUGUACCUACAUAAUCUAUUCUUAAGAUCAUCAGUCUGAUUCCACAACUGGUACUAUGAUUCCUUCAGAGGAUUGUUUUUAAUAUUAAAGACAUCUAGAAUUUUAUC